This 1090-nucleotide long non-coding RNA is filed under the name Brachypodium distachyon (stiff brome). Its description in RNAcentral is "long non-coding RNA (BDIS_LNC005295)". Lineage: Eukaryota; Viridiplantae; Streptophyta; Magnoliopsida; Poales; Poaceae. The record is from RNAcentral.
GAAAAGUGUUUUUUAAGAUCGUUAGAAGCAUCAGGAGCUAAGCAGAAACGGGCCUACCCAGACUGCCGCUUCGGUCGAAAUAACACAGCCUCUGUUCCUCUCCCUCUCACCCCGACCGUCCUCCCGACCGAGAGAGUUGAGCGGCGGCGGCCCGACCUAGAUCCAGCGUCGCCCGGGCGCGCCGCCGGCCUGCCCCGACGAUCCGCCUCGUACGCGCCGGAUCUCCUCUUCCCGCGACCCAACCCGCCAUCUCCUCCGCUGGCCCCAUCCUUCUCCCACGCCCGAAGCCGCCCCGACGAAGAUCCGGAGAGCAGCCAGCCCUCAACCGACCGACGCCCUCCCCUUCUUCCAGCCAGCCAGCGCCCUCCCCUUCCUCUUCUACAACCAGCGCCGCCUCAGCUCCUCUCCGCCCGCCCGACCAACACCACGACACAGCUCCUCUGAUGCUGCUACCUCAUCUUCUCCGCCCGCCCGGAGCCAGCCACGAUACAGAGGGACUGUACGUCACUGCACCUGGGCUAGUUUGCUAAUCACCGGCUGAUUGACUGGAGCUCUGGUAAAAAAAGUUCACUUUGGCAAGCAUGUAUUCUGGUAAAAAAAAAAGUUCACUUUGGCAGAGUUCGUCCUUGCUCACCGGCGAGCAGUCUGGCUCUUGUUCAUGUUUUUUCUUACUGCUGGGUCAAGUUUUCUUAUGGUUGCGAAGAGUGUGCUCUGUGCUGUGUCAAGUUUUCUUCACCCCAAGAAAGUUUGUCCCAGUCAAUCACAACCUCUGAUUUUGUGCUCUUUCGGUUUCAUGCAUGGGAAUUAGCUUAGGUCGAUACAAUAUGCAGCUGUUUGUGCAAUCAAGGGAGUCCGUUGUAUAUUGCAGUGGAAAAAAAAUAACGACCAUAACAUGUAUGGUACUGUAUAACUUUGUGGUUUUGUAUAUAGUUGUGUGAGAUGAGAAAUAAGGAAUAGAUUUCGUUUACGGCAUUGUGUAUUUAACAUUCCAUUAUUCUCAAUUGUUGAAAGUUAAAUUUAUAUGAAAUCAAGCAAUUCAUGCAAAUCUAGCCAAAACACAUAAAGUCAGAUAAAUCUUGUCAAAAUUAUA